This is a non-coding RNA of Trichomycterus rosablanca, 72 nucleotides long. The record is from the annotation of a RefSeq genome assembly. Lineage: Eukaryota; Metazoa; Chordata; Actinopteri; Siluriformes; Trichomycteridae.
GCGGCUAUAGCUCAGUGGUAGAGCGUUUGACUGCAGCUCAAGAGGUCUCCAGUUCAAAUCUGGGUGCCCUCA